GUAUAUUUUAUAACUUUUUAACAUUCUAAAACAUGCAAAAGAGGUUGUGAAAGAUGACAUAGACCCUGCAUCCCAACUCGAAAUGAAUCCCAGGGUCUACAAUAUGUGCACAGUUUGGAGAGAUAAAAAGAUGACAAGCGUGCACGUGCCGAGAAGGCCAGCAACAGCUGUAUUUCUAUAAUGAUCCUUCCGCAGGUUCACCUACGGAAA
This 210-nucleotide unclassified non-coding RNA is filed under the name uncultured fungus. RNAcentral describes it as "sequence contains ITS1". Lineage: Eukaryota; Fungi. The record is from RNAcentral.